Molecule: small RNA, 79 nt
Filed under: Edwardsiella tarda
Lineage: Bacteria; Pseudomonadati; Pseudomonadota; Gammaproteobacteria; Enterobacterales; Hafniaceae
Description: TrxA 5' UTR thermometer
Source: RNAcentral
AGGCUAUUACUAUAAACCAACAAGGCAGACUUAAUCCUGUGGAGUAGAACAUGAGCGAUAAAAUUGUUCACCUGAGCGA